GGCGGCAGGCCUACACAUGCAAGUCGAGCGGAUGACGGGAGCUUGCUCCUUGAUUCAGCGGCGGACGGGUGAGUAAUGCCUAGGAAUCUGCCUGGUAGUGGGGGACAACGUUUCGAAAGGAACGCUAAUACCGCAUACGUCCUACGGGAGAAAGCAGGGGACCUUCGGGCCUUGCGCUAUCAGAUGAGCCUAGGUCGGAUUAGCUAGUUGGUGGGGUAAUGGCUCACCAAGGCGACGAUCCGUAACUGGUCUGAGAGGAUGAUCAGUCACACUGGAACUGAGACACGGUCCAGACUCCUACGGGAGGCAGCAGUGGGGAAUAUUGGACAAUGGGCGAAAGCCUGAUCCAGCCAUGCCGCGUGUGUGAAGAAGGUCUUCGGAUUGUAAAGCACUUUAAGUUGGGAGGAAGGGCA
Molecule: ribosomal RNA, 413 nt
Filed under: Pseudomonas sp. EP_S_46
Lineage: Bacteria; Pseudomonadati; Pseudomonadota; Gammaproteobacteria; Pseudomonadales; Pseudomonadaceae
Description: bacterial SSU rRNA
Rfam family: Bacterial small subunit ribosomal RNA
Source: RNAcentral